AUACUUACUUGGCAAGGGAGAUACCAUGAUCAUGAAGAUGGUUUUCCCAUGGGGAGACUCAUCCAUUGCACUGUGGGUGUGCUGACCCCUGCUAUUUCCCAAAUGCUGGAAACUCAACUGCAUAAUUUGUGGUAGCGGGGGACUGCAUUUGUGCUUUCCCCUG
Molecule: small nuclear RNA, 163 nt
Filed under: Terrapene triunguis (Three-toed box turtle)
Lineage: Eukaryota; Metazoa; Chordata; Testudines; Emydidae
Description: Terrapene carolina triunguis (Three-toed box turtle) U1 spliceosomal RNA (ENSTMTG00000020767.1)
Rfam family: U1 spliceosomal RNA
About the family: U1 is a small nuclear RNA (snRNA) component of the spliceosome (involved in pre-mRNA splicing).
Source: Rfam by way of RNAcentral